UUUCCGUAGGUGAACCUGCGGAAGGAUCAUUACAAGAGCGAGGGCCCUCGUGGCCCGAACCUCCAACCCCAUGUUGUCCGACUCUGUUGCCUCGGGGGCGACCCGGCCCUCCUGGGCGUCGGGGCCCCCGGUGGCUCACACCUCAACUCUUGCAUCUGUGCGUCUGAGUAACAUAUUGAAUCAAUCAAAACGUUCAACAACGGAUCUCUUGGUUCUGGCAUCGAUGAAGAACGCAGC
RNAcentral lists this unclassified non-coding RNA (237 nucleotides) under uncultured fungus. RNAcentral's name for it is "sequence contains ITS1, 5.8S rRNA gene". The stretch from base 189 to 237 matches the Rfam family "5.8S ribosomal RNA", at positions 1 to 49 of the family's 154-position model. Lineage: Eukaryota; Fungi. The record is from RNAcentral.